UCAUUGAAACAAAACAUAAUGAUUCACAUACAGCAUAUAUAUUGUACUCUAUUCUAUUUUGAAGCAGAUCAAAAGUGGAAAAAAUUUCUUAUAAAUUUAGGUACAUUAUAGAUUCAUGACAAAUGGGAAAUUGGCAAAUGGAGGUUGGAAGAAUGAUGUCAUAUAUAUUAUUUCCCAUUGGAGUUUAUUAUUAUUUUAAUCAAACAGAAAAUAUUGAAGAAUGGAUAAAGACUGAAAAGAAAAAGUUUCAAAAUUCAGAUAACAUACAACAUACAGAAUUUAUGAAUUUUAUUGAGGAAUUUAAUAAAAAGCAACAGUUAAAAAGAAUUGUAGAAAUGGAAGCGCAAUAUAAUGAAGUGAAAUAGAUUAGAAUUAUGUUUUAGAAUUAUAUGAUCUGGAAUUUUUGCUUAUAAAUGAAUACAUAAAGUACAUUAUGCAAAUGUAGAUAUAUUAUUGUAUUUAUUUUUUUUAUAGUUAUUAUUUUUAAUAUUUAUAAUAU
Long non-coding RNA from Apis laboriosa (Himalayan honeybee), 499 nucleotides. RefSeq lists it as uncharacterized. NCBI's taxonomy places the organism in Eukaryota, Metazoa, Arthropoda, Insecta, Hymenoptera, Apidae. The record is from RefSeq and is a predicted model, not a curated record. The transcript is spliced from 3 exons.